RNAcentral lists this ribosomal RNA (458 nucleotides) under uncultured bacterium. RNAcentral's name for it is "bacterial SSU rRNA". It matches the Rfam family "Bacterial small subunit ribosomal RNA", at positions 8 to 446 of the family's 1533-position model. The record is from RNAcentral.
AGAGUUUGAUCUAUCGGCUCAGGAUGAACGCUGGCGGCGUGCUUAACACAUGCAAGUCGAACGAGAACCAUUGGAUCGAGGAUUCGUCCAAGUGAAGGUGGGGAAAGUGGCGGACGGGUGAGUAACGCGUGAGCAAUCUGCCUUGGAGUGGGGAAUAACGGCUGGAAACAGCCGCUAAUACCGCAUGAUACAGCUGGGAGGCAUCUCCCUGGCUGUCAAAGAUUUAUCGCUCUGAGAUGAGCUCGCGUCUGAUUAGCUGGUUGGCGGGGUAACGGCCCACCAAGGCGACGAUCAGUAGCCGGACUGAGAGGUUGGCCGGCCACAUUGGGACUGAGACACGGCCCAGACUCCUACGGGAGGCAGCAGUGGGGAAUAUUGGGCAAUGGGCGCAAGCCUGACCCAGCAACGCCGCGUGAAGGAAGAAGGCUUUCGGGUUGUAAACUUCUUUUCUUGGGGAC